Molecule: ribosomal RNA, 478 nt
Filed under: uncultured bacterium
Lineage: Bacteria
Description: partial 16S ribosomal RNA
Rfam family: Bacterial small subunit ribosomal RNA
Source: RNAcentral
GAUGAACGCUGGCGGCGUGCUUAACACAUGCAAGUCGAACGGGAAACCUUUUAUUGAAGCUUCGGCAGAUUUAGCUGGUUUCUAGUGGCGGACGGGUGAGUAACGCGUGGGUAACCUGCCCUAUACAGGGGGAUAACAACCAGAAAUGGUUGCUAAUACCGCAUAAGCGCACAGGGCCGCAUGGUCCGGUGUGGAAAACUCCGGUGGUAUAGGAUGGACCCGCGUUGGAUUAGCCAGUUGGCAGGGUAACGGCCUACCAAAGCGACGAUCCAUAGCCGGCAUGAGAGGGUGAACGGCCACAUUGGGACUGAGACACGGCCCAGACUCCUACGGGAGGCAGCAGUGGGGAAUAUUGCACAAUGGGGGAAACCCUGAUGCAGCGACGCCGCGUGAAGGAAGAAGUAUCUCGGUAUGUAAACUUCUAUAAGCAGGGAAGAUAGUGACGGUACCUGACGAAGAAGCCCCGGCUAACUACGUG